This 256-nucleotide ribosomal RNA is filed under the name uncultured bacterium. RNAcentral describes it as "partial 16S ribosomal RNA". It matches the Rfam family "Bacterial small subunit ribosomal RNA", at positions 524 to 776 of the family's 1533-position model. The record is from RNAcentral.
UACGGAGGGUGCGAGCGUUGUCCGGAAUCACUGGGCGUAAAGGGCGCGUAGGCGGCCACCGCAAGGCCCGUGUGAAAGCCCGGGGCUCAACCCCGGGUCGGCGCGGGCGACUGCGGGGCUAGAGGGCGCGGUAGAGGCCGGUGGAAUUCCGGGUGUAGCGGUGGAAUGCGUAGAGAUCCGGAAGAACACCAGUGGCGAAGGCGGCCGGCUGGGCCGCGGCCGACGCUGAGGCGCGACAGCGUGGGGAGCAAACAGG